GGAGAAACCCCACCAAAAUACACAGCACUUUUGUGUAAGUUUGCUUUAAGACCAGUAGCUGCUAGGAACUGAGAGAAAAAUAAGAACAUAGAACUUACUGACUAAAGCUCUCCUUUGACAAACAAUAGUAAGUCAUCAGCAAAGCUUAUGUGAGUAAUUCCCAACUUCUUACAACCAGGAUGAUAUAUGAAGCUUUUAGUAUGAUUCAAUUCUGCCAGGGAUCUACUAAGAUAUUCCAUUAUAAUAGCAAACAGAAAGGGAGAUAUAGGAUCU
Molecule: long non-coding RNA, 273 nt
Filed under: Nicotiana benthamiana
Lineage: Eukaryota; Viridiplantae; Streptophyta; Magnoliopsida; Solanales; Solanaceae
Description: long non-coding RNA (NBEN_LNC001529)
Source: RNAcentral